GCGCCGUUAGCUCAAUCGGCAGAGCAGCUGACUCUUAAUCAGCGGGUUCGGGGUUCAAGUCCCUGACGGCGCACCG
RNAcentral lists this transfer RNA (76 nucleotides) under uncultured Pseudonocardia sp. RNAcentral describes it as "tRNA-Lys-CTT". It matches the Rfam family "tRNA". From Rfam's summary of the family: Transfer RNA (tRNA) molecules are approximately 80 nucleotides in length. Lineage: Bacteria; Bacillati; Actinomycetota; Actinomycetes; Pseudonocardiales; Pseudonocardiaceae. The record is from RNAcentral.